This 493-nucleotide ribosomal RNA is filed under the name uncultured bacterium. RNAcentral's name for it is "partial 16S ribosomal RNA". It matches the Rfam family "Bacterial small subunit ribosomal RNA", at positions 29 to 507 of the family's 1533-position model. The record is from RNAcentral.
AGUGAACGCUGGCGGUAGGCCUAACACAUGCAAGUCGAACGGCAGCACAGUAAGAGCUUGCUCUUACGGGUGGCGAGUGGCGGACGGGUGAGGAAUACAUCGGAAUCUACUUUUUCGUGGGGGAUAACGUAGGGAAACUUACGCUAAUACCGCAUACGACCUACGGGUGAAAGCAGGGGAUCUUCGGACCUUGCGCGAUUGAAUGAGCCGAUGUCGGAUUAGCUAGUUGGCGGGGUAAAGGCCCACCAAGGCGACGAUCCGUAGCUGGUCUGAGAGGAUGGACACGCCACCGUGGAACUGAGACACGGUCCAGCCCCCUCGGGGGGCCGGCAGUGGGGAAUUUUGGACAAGGGGCCCAGUCCUUCUCCGCCCACCCCGGGGGGGUAAAAAGGGCUUUCGGUUUGUAGACCCUUUUUUUUGGGAAAAAAGAGCAGCGGGUUAAUCCCCCCCUGUUUUCAGGCUCCCAAAAAAAUAACCCCCCCCUAUCUCCGCC